AUAGGGUCAAGUGAAUAAGUGCAUCAGGCGGAUGCCUUGGCGAUGAUAGGCGACGAAGGACGUGUAAGCCUGCGAAAAGCGCGGGGGAGCUGGCAAUAAAGCUAUGAUUCCGCGAUGUCCGAAUGGGGAAACCCACUGCAUUCUGUGCAGUAUCCUAAGUUGAAUACAUAGGCUUAGAGAAGCGAACCCGGAGAACUGAACCAUCUAAGUACCCGGAGGAAAAGAAAUCAACCGAGAUUCCGCAAGUAGUGGCGAGCGAACGCGGAGGAGCCUGUACGUAAUAACUGUCGAGAUAGAAGAACAAGCUGGGAAGCUUGACCAUAGCGGGUGACAGUCCCGUAUUCGAAAUCUCAACAGCGGUACUAAGCGUACGAAAAGUAGGGCGGGACACGUGAAAUCCUGUCUGAAUAUGGGGGGACCAUCCUCCAAGGCUAAAUACUCAUCAUCGACCGAUAGUGAACCAGUACCGUGAGGGAAAGGCGAAAAGAACCCCGGGAGGGGAGUGAAACAGAACCUGAAACCUGAUGCAUACAAACAGUGGGAGCGCCCUAGUGGUGUGACUGCGUACCUUUUGUAUAAUGGGUCAACGACUUACAUUCAGUAGCGAGCUUAACCGGAUAGGGGAGGCGUAGGGAAACCGAGUCUUAAUAGGGCGAUGAGUUGCUGGGUGUAGACCCGAAACCGAGUGAUCUAUCCAUGGUCAGGUUGAAGGUGCCGUAACAGGUACUGGAGGACCGAACCCACGCAUGUUGCAAAAUGCGGGGAUGAGCUGUGGGUAGGGGUGAAAGGCUAAACAAACUCGGAGAUAGCUGGUUCUCCCCGAAAACUAUUUAGGUAGUGCCUCGAGCAAGACACUGAUGGGGGUAAAGCACUGUUAUGGCUAGGGGGUUAUUGCAACUUACCAACCCAUGGCAAACUCAGAAUACCAUCAAGUGGUUCCUCGGGAGACAGACAGCGGGUGCUAACGUCCGUUGUCAAGAGGGAAACAACCCAGACCGCCGGCUAAGGUCCCAAAUGAUAGAUUAAGUGGUAAACGAAGUGGGAAGGCACAGACAGCCAGGAUGUUGGCUUAGAAGCAGCCAUCAUUUAAAGAAAGCGUAAUAGCUCACUGGUCGAGUCGUCCUGCGCGGAAGAUGUAACGGGGCUCAAAUCUAUAACCGAAGCUGCGGAUGCCGGUUUACCGGCAUGGUAGGGGAGCGUUCUGUAGGCUGAUGAAGGUGCAUUGUAAAGUGUGCUGGAGGUAUCAGAAGUGCGAAUGUUGACAUGAGUAGCGAUAAAGCGGGUGAAAAGCCCGCUCGCCGAAAGCCCAAGGUUUCCUACGCAACGUUCAUCGGCGUAGGGUGAGUCGGCCCCUAAGGCGAGGCAGAAAUGCGUAGUCGAUGGGAAACAGGUUAAUAUUCCUGUACUUGAUUCAAAUGCGAUGUGGGGACGGAGAAGGUUAGGUUGGCAAGCUGUUGGAAUAGCUUGUUUAAGCCGGUAGGUGGAAGACUUAGGCAAAUCCGGGUUUUCUUAACACCGAGAAGUGAUGACGAGUGUCUACGGACACGAAGCAACCGAUACCACGCUUCCAGGAAAAGCCACUAAGCUUCAGUUUGAAUCGAACCGUACCGCAAACCGACACAGGUGGGUAGGAUGAGAAUUCUAAGGCGCUUGAGAGAACUCGGGAGAAGGAACUCGGCAAAUUGAUACCGUAACUUCGGGAGAAGGUAUGCCCUCUAAGGUUAAGGACUUGCUCCGUAAGCCCCGGAGGGUCGCAGAGAAUAGGUGGCUGCGACUGUUUAUUAAAAACACAGCACUCUGCCAACACGAAAGUGGACGUAUAGGGUGUGACGCCUGCCCGGUGCCGGAAGGUUAAUUGAAGAUGUGCAAGCAUCGGAUCGAAGCCCCGGUAAACGGCGGCCGUAACUAUAACGGUCCUAAGGUAGCGAAAUUCCUUGUCGGGUAAGUUCCGACCCGCACGAAUGGCGUAACGAUGGCCACACUGUCUCCUCCCGAGACUCAGCGAAGUUGAAGUGGUUGUGAAGAUGCAAUCUACCCGCUGCUAGACGGAAAGACCCCGUGAACCUUUACUGUAGCUUUGCAUUGGACUUUGAAGUCACUUGUGUAGGAUAGGUGGGAGGCUUGGAAGCAGAGACGCCAGUCUCUGUGGAGUCGUCCUUGAAAUACCACCCUGGUGUCUUUGAGGUUCUAACCCAGACCCGUCAUCCGGGUCGGGGACCGUGCAUGGUAGGCAGUUUGACUGGGGCGGUCUCCUCCCAAAGCGUAACGGAGGAGUUCGAAGGUUACCUAGGUCCGGUCGGAAAUCGGACUGAUAGUGCAAUGGCAAAAGGUAGCUUAACUGCGAGACCGACAAGUCGGGCAGGUGCGAAAGCAGGACAUAGUGAUCCGGUGGUUCUGUAUGGAAGGGCCAUCGCUCAACGGAUAAAAGGUACUCCGGGGAUAACAGGCUGAUUCCGCCCAAGAGUUCAUAUCGACGGCGGAGUUUGGCACCUCGAUGUCGGCUCAUCACAUCCUGGGGCUGUAGUCGGUCCCAAGGGUAUGGCUGUUCGCCAUUUAAAGUGGUACGUGAGCUGGGUUUAAAACGUCGUGAGACAGUUUGGUCCCUAUCUGCAGUGGGCGUUGGAAGUUUGACGGGGGCUGCUCCUAGUACGAGAGGACCGGAGUGGACGAACCUCUGGUGUACCGGUUGUAACGCCAGUUGCAUAGCCGGGUAGCUAAGUUCGGAAGAGAUAAGCGCUGAAAGCAUCUAAGCGCGAAACUCGCCUGAAGAUGAGACUUCCCUUGCGGUUUAACCGCACUAAAGGGUCGUUCGAGACCAGGACGUUGAUAGGUGGGGUGUGGAAGCGCGGUAACGCGUGAAGCUAACCCAUACUAAUUGCCCGUGAGGCUUGACUCUAU
RNAcentral lists this ribosomal RNA (2898 nucleotides) under Neisseria gonorrhoeae. RNAcentral describes it as "bacterial LSU rRNA". It matches the Rfam family "Bacterial large subunit ribosomal RNA". RNAcentral also lists the same sequence under 1 other name. The record is from RNAcentral. Lineage: Bacteria; Pseudomonadati; Pseudomonadota; Betaproteobacteria; Neisseriales; Neisseriaceae.